CAGUAGCCACGGGAAUACGAAGGGGGCUAGCGUUGCUCGGAAUUACUGGGCGUAAAGCGCACGCAGGCGGCUCGAUAAAUUAGAAGUGAAAGCCUUGGGCUUAACCUGAGAAUUGCUUUUAAGACUGUCGAGCUAGAAUCCAGAAGAGGGUAGUGGAAUUCCGAGUGUAGAGGUGAAAUUCGUAGAUAUCGGAAGGAACACCUGUGGCGAAAGCGGCUCACUGGACCAUUUCUGACGCUGAUGCACGAAAGCUAGGGGAGCAAACAGGAUUAGAUACCCCUGUAGUCCCUGUCUCUUAUAC
RNAcentral lists this ribosomal RNA (301 nucleotides) under uncultured bacterium. RNAcentral describes it as "partial 16S ribosomal RNA". It matches the Rfam family "Bacterial small subunit ribosomal RNA", at positions 509 to 807 of the family's 1533-position model. The record is from RNAcentral.